UAACUGAAGAGUUUGAUCAUGGCUCAGAUUGAACGCUGGCGGCAGGCUUAACACAUGCAAGUCGAGCGGGGGAAGGUAGCUUGCUACCGGACCUAGCGGCGGACGGGUGAGUAAUGCUUAGGAAUCUGCCUAUUAGUGGGGGACAACAUCUCGAAAGGGAUGCUAAUACCGCAUACGUCCUACGGGAGAAAGCAGGGGAUCUUCGGACCUUGCGCUAAUAGAUGAGCCUAAGUCGGAUUAGCUAGUUGGUGGGGUAAAGGCCUACCAAGGCGACGAUCUGUAGCGGGUCUGAGAGGAUGAUCCGCCACACUGGGACUGAGACACGGCCCAGACUCCUACGGGAGGCAGCAGUGGGGAAUAUUGGACAAUGGGGGGAACCCUGAUCCAGCCAUGCCGCGUGUGUGAAGAAGGCCUUAUGGUUGUAAAGCACUUUAAGCGAGGAGGAGGCUACUUUAGUUAAUACCUAGAGAUAGUGGACGUUACUCGCAGAAUAAGCACCGGCUAACUCUGUGCCAGCAGCCGCGGUAAUACAGAGGGUGCGAGCGUUAAUCGGAUUUACUGGGCGUAAAGCGUGCGUAGGCGGCUUAUUAAGUCGGAUGUGAAAUCCCCGAGCUUAACUUGGGAAUUGCAUUCGAUACUGGUGAGCUAGAGUAUGGGAGAGGAUGGUAGAAUUCCAGGUGUAGCGGUGAAAUGCGUAGAGAUCUGGAGGAAUACCGAUGGCGAAGGCAGCCAUCUGGCCUAAUACUGACGCUGAGGUACGAAAGCAUGGGGAGCAAACAGGAUUAGAUACCCUGGUAGUCCAUGCCGUAAACGAUGUCUACUAGCCGUUGGGGCCUUUGAGGCUUUAGUGGCGCAGCUAACGCGAUAAGUAGACCGCCUGGGGAGUACGGUCGCAAGACUAAA
Molecule: ribosomal RNA, 903 nt
Filed under: Acinetobacter baumannii
Lineage: Bacteria; Pseudomonadati; Pseudomonadota; Gammaproteobacteria; Moraxellales; Moraxellaceae
Description: bacterial SSU rRNA
Rfam family: Bacterial small subunit ribosomal RNA
Source: RNAcentral